Molecule: unclassified non-coding RNA, 352 nt
Filed under: soil metagenome
Description: partial contains 5.8S ribosomal RNA, internal transcribed spacer 2, and large subunit ribosomal RNA
Rfam family: 5.8S ribosomal RNA (bases 1-120)
Source: RNAcentral
GAUGAAGAACGCAGCGAAAUGCGAUAAGUAAUGUGAAUUGCAGAAUUCAGUGAAUCAUCGAAUCUUUGAACGCUCAUUGCGCCGGCCAGUAGUCUGGCGGGCAUGCCUGUUCGAGCGUCAUUACAACCCUCAGGCCCCCGGGCCUGGCGUUGGGGAUCGGCGGAGCCCCCCGUGGGCACACGCCGUCCCCCAAAUGCAGUGGCGGUCCCGCCGCAGCUUCCAUCGCGUAGUAGCUAACACCUCGCGCCUGGAGAGCGGCGCGGCCACGCCGUAAAACACCCAACUCUUCUGAAGUUGACCUCGAAUCAGGUAGGAAUACCCGCUGAACUUAAGCAUAUCAAUAAGCGGAGGA